CUCUCCCUGACAACAGUGGAUAAACACUGCUGUUUCCCCAUCUGCUCCGACACCAUGCAGUAUCAGACUUUUUGAUCUUGGGAUCACACCGGCCAAGGCCUGAUUGGAGACGCCUGGGACCCUGCCGAGCUAGCCGGCCCCUCAACCCUGGCCGCAGCCACGACUCCGAGCGCUGCUCCUUCUUUUUCUGCACUUUCCUUUCUCCCCCACAAGCUUCUGAUUCUUGGAACCAGGCUUGGUGACCUCACGCGAGUGACUUCAUAUCCGGGACUUUCUGGGAAUUCUCAGCAGCACUUUUUCGCCGCCAUCUUCAACCAACUGGACUGAGUCUUCUGUCAUUCGGGUCACCUCCGCUGAGACGCCUUCCCUGACCACCCAAGUUGAAGGAACUGCCAACAUUUCCCUCUUGGACUUUGUGUUUUAUUUCCUUCACAGUAUUUCUCCCCUCUAAAAUUAUCUUGUCUGCUUCUACCUAUAUUGUCUUCCCUCUUGAAACCGAAGUUCCAUAAGCUGAGGCAGAAAUUCUGCCUUGUUCAUCUCUGUUGUCAGCACCCUGAACAGAGCCUGGCAUGAAUGAGGUGCUCAAUAAAAGUUACUUGGAUGAAUCGGCA
This is a non-coding RNA of Macaca mulatta (Rhesus monkey), 611 nucleotides long. Lineage: Eukaryota; Metazoa; Chordata; Mammalia; Primates; Cercopithecidae. The record is from RefSeq and is a predicted model, not a curated record.